This 21-nucleotide non-coding RNA is filed under the name Caenorhabditis elegans. The record is from RNAcentral. Lineage: Eukaryota; Metazoa; Nematoda; Chromadorea; Rhabditida; Rhabditidae.
UUUCAAUACUAUUCAAAUACU